GCCGCCGCACCGCGCAGGCGCGGGCCGACCCGCCGUGACGUAACUGCCGGCGGCGCCGCAGGUACGGGAGGGGCGGAGUUCCGGGGAGGGGGCGGGGCGCUGAGCGGUGUCCGUGGAUACGGAAGUGAUUGACAGAGUCCUUUGGCUGUGGCUGUGUGUCGUGGUCACUUCCUGCGCCCUAUGCGUGCCAUCAGCUCAGCGUUAGCAGCCGCCUUGGCUUGCAGCUCCUUCUCCCGGGCCAAGUCCAGCAGGAUCCUCAGGAUGUGUGUGGGGACAUCGAGGGACAGGGACACCUUUCUUGCCGUGCUGCUCUUUUUUACCACAGCGGCUCUGUUGGUGUCAGGGUUUGGCAGCCAGGGCCAUGCUUCUCUCACCGACUCCUCCAGCAGCAGCUGCGUGGUUCCAUCCAACUGAGAGCCAUCCCCAGAGCCGUGGCCACGUCUCUCCCCAGGGAGCCCCAGCAUUACCCCGCUGCUGCCCUCCUUGUCCCAGCCAUCUUCAUGCCAGGGGACACCGGUCACAGCGGGGCCGUGGGGAAGGCUCAGCCCCUGCACCAUGCCCCAUGGCAGUAGCAGGAAGGGCAGCAGCACAGCCUGCAGGAACAGAGCGCGGCACUCAGCAUCACCCCCCCACCUGGUGUCCCCUGUCCCAUUCACACCCAGGGGACGGGGCGGUGGCAGCGUAGGGAUGGGGUGAUGAUGGCAGCGUGGGGACAACACGGCGUCUCCUCCCGCAGCCACUCCCCGCCCCACAGCUGCCCUUUGGUCGGGAACGUGUGACGUGGGACUGGGACUCACGCCACCACUGCCUCCUUCCAAGCCGCCCCCCCCAGGAGUGCCACCCCUCAGCUCUGUGGGGCAAAAGCUGCCUUCUCGGAUGGAACGAUUUGCCCCAAAUAAGCAGAAGGGUGACAAGAGCAUGAUGCAGCCACCUGCACGGCAUCCUCAGCAUCCUCGUCUGCAGGACCCUGCGCUGCUCUCGGAGCUGGCUGCAAAAAGCCAGAGGGAAGCAGCGGAAUGCAGCCAGCAUCCUCAUCCUGCAUCCCACCUCCUGGGUGAAACCCUUUGGAAAGCACCAGAGCGGGCAGCCAGAGGCAGCCGGAUGAGUUGCAAACUGGGUGAUGAAAUCACCCCGGGAUGCGGGUGGGCGUUUGCCCCCUCAUAGAGCCGAAUUUGGAGGGGAUUUCGGGAACUCGGCAUAAUCAUCUCACACUGGACAUCCAACUAACUGCUGCUCCAUAGAACCGAGCCUCCCCAUAGGCUCUGCUGCGGGCUGGAGUGCCUGUGCUCAUGGGGUGGUGGAGAGAGGAAAUAAACGGGGCUCUGUUCUUCCUUCUGGAAA
Long non-coding RNA from Gallus gallus (chicken), 1341 nucleotides. RefSeq lists it as uncharacterized. The record is from RefSeq and is a predicted model, not a curated record. The transcript is spliced from 3 exons. Lineage: Eukaryota; Metazoa; Chordata; Aves; Galliformes; Phasianidae.